CCCCAUCAUGACAGCCCGGC
Molecule: non-coding RNA, 20 nt
Filed under: Rattus norvegicus (Norway rat)
Lineage: Eukaryota; Metazoa; Chordata; Mammalia; Rodentia; Muridae
Source: RNAcentral